AGGGAAUCUUCCGCAAUGGACGAAAGUCUGACGGAGCAACGCCGCGUGAGUGAUGAAGGCCUUCGGGUCGUAAAACUCUGUUGUUAGGGAAGAACAAGUACCGGAGUAACUGCCGGUACCUUGACGGUACCUAACCAGAAAGCCACGGCUAACUACGUGCCAGCAGCCGCGGUAAUACGUAGGUGGCAAGCGUUGUCCGGAAUUAUUGGGCGUAAAGCGCGCGCAGGCGGUCCUUUAAGUCUGAUGUGAAAGCCCACGGCUCAACCGUGGAGGGUCAUUGGAAACUGGGGGACUUGAGUGCAGAAGAGGAAAGCGGAAUUCCACGUGUAGCGGUGAAAUGCGUAGAGAUGUGGAGGAACACCAGUGGCGAAGGCGGCUUUCUGGUCUGUAACUGACGCUGAGGCGCGAAAGCGUGGGGAGCAAAC
This 425-nucleotide ribosomal RNA is filed under the name uncultured bacterium. RNAcentral describes it as "bacterial SSU rRNA". It matches the Rfam family "Bacterial small subunit ribosomal RNA", at positions 356 to 773 of the family's 1533-position model. The record is from RNAcentral.